GACGAACGCUGGCGGCGUGCUUAACACAUGCAAGUCGAGCGAGAAAGCGCCUUCGGGCGUGAGUACAGCGGCGAACGGGUGAGUAACACGUGGGCAACCUGCCCCAGAGACUGGGAUAACGUCCCGAAAGGGACGCUAAUACCGGAUGACGCGCGAUCUGCCAAGUAGGUCGCGCCAAAUGGUAGCUUCGGCUUCUGCCCUGGGAUGGGCCCGCGCCGGAUUAGCUUGUUGGUGGGGUAAUGGCUCACCAAGGCGACGAUCCGUAGCUGGUCUGAGAGGACGAUCAGCCACACUGGGACUGAGACACGGCCCAGACUCCUACGGGAGGCAGCAGUGGGGAAUCUUGCGCAAUGGGCGAAAGCCUGACGCAGCAACGCCGCGUGAGCGAAGACGGCCUUCGGGUUGUAAAGCUCUGUCAGGAGGGACGAAGCCACUCAGGUGAAUAGCCGAGAGGGUGACGGUACCUCCAGAGGAAGCCCCGGCUAACUACGUGCCAGCAGCCGCGGUAA
RNAcentral lists this ribosomal RNA (509 nucleotides) under uncultured bacterium. RNAcentral's name for it is "partial 16S ribosomal RNA". It matches the Rfam family "Bacterial small subunit ribosomal RNA", at positions 28 to 523 of the family's 1533-position model. The record is from RNAcentral.